RNAcentral lists this ribosomal RNA (341 nucleotides) under uncultured archaeon. Its description in RNAcentral is "bacterial SSU rRNA". The stretch from base 1 to 284 matches the Rfam family "Archaeal small subunit ribosomal RNA", at positions 1058 to 1342 of the family's 1478-position model. The record is from RNAcentral.
UCAUUGCUGCAGCGGAUCCUCCGGGAUGCCGGGCACACUAUAGGGACCGCCCCUGAUCAACUGGAGGAAAGAGUGGACGAUAGUAGGUCCGUAUGCCCCCAAUCCCCUGGGCAACACGCGGGCUACAAUGGGUAUGAGAAUGGGUUUUGACAUUGAAAGGUGAAGGUAAUCUCCCAUACAUAUUCUUACUUUUGAUCGAGGGCUGUAACCCGCCCUCGUGAAGCUGGAAUGCGUAGUAAUCGCGUGUCAUAAUCGCGCGGUGAAUACGUCCCUGCUCCUUGCACCCACACCGUAGGGCUCUCCCUCGACAAUCAGUUUGGGCGUCCCUGCUCCUUGCACAA